Long non-coding RNA from Passer domesticus (house sparrow), 3219 nucleotides. RefSeq lists it as uncharacterized. The record is from RefSeq and is a predicted model, not a curated record. The transcript has 6 exons. NCBI's taxonomy places the organism in Eukaryota, Metazoa, Chordata, Aves, Passeriformes, Passeridae.
AUUAACAAGACACCUGUGUGAACAGCCAUUGAAAUCUGGUAAAUUAGUGUCAUAAUUUAAUGCAGAGAAUUACAUAUGAAUCUACAUAUCUAGGCUAGGAAAAGUGGAGAGAAGAAGGCUUAAAUCUUACUAUGUGAUACUGAGGGAUAGGGCCAAUUUUAGCAUGUGGAUGAAAUCCAGACACGCUGAAUAGAUGAGACCUUAAAACACACGAGGACUGGUGUGUCCAUAACCAGCUUCUGUUGGCAACAUGAAGAAUUCCCUGUGAAGGGACUCAAGGUCUGUGUUUGACAUGUGUGGAUAGUGGAGAAGUUUUGACCUUGUCUUUCUUAACCAGAAAUGUAAGAACUUGCUGAUUGAUGCUUUCCCUGCUUGGUCACUCCAGAAAAAAAAAAUGUGAGGAUGCUGACAGACUGAAAUGUUAAUGCAUUAAACCAAAUCAAAAGCAGUGCUAGUGGCCUUGCUAGGGAUGACACUCAACUCUGGGAAACAUGAAAGACCUUUUUGAGGACCAAAUAUUUAUCUUCCAGACACACUGCAUCCACAUUUGUGACCAGGAGAAACAUAGAAAUGUCUCUGGGGAAGGCUGUGAUCUCAUGAAGGGUUGUCUCAAAGAGGAUUUCUGCAUGCAUGCAGAGAAGGAUAAACAAACCAUGGAGCUCAUUGGAGGCCAAAAGAAAUUGGGCAGAUUUUUGCUUCAAUUAUGGCAGAGCACUAGUGAGAGCAAGGAUUUCCUGUCAUGAAGUAAGAAAACUCCCCAGGUCAUAGAUCCUGGGCUCUGUGCGAGCUGGCAAUGCUUGAGAUGUGCUGCACAAAGAGCUCAAAACCUCCACUUUUUGCUCUUUCAGUAGCUUUUCCCUGAACUGUUUGCAAAUGUACACAAGCUUUUCUUUGAAGGACACUUCAGUUCCUCAGUUGGCUAAGACAGACUUGGGAAUGAGUAAAUGACCUUGCAGAAAGUUACAGCUUUCAGGAUUUUCUGCUCCUCUCUUCUUUUAGCCCAUUUUUGCCCUCAGUGAGAUGUAUCUGCCUUUUCCUAAGCUGUGUCACAGUCAAAAGGAUCACCAGUACCAAAACCCCAAUUUUCUAGGAACAUCUCCAUUACUGCAGAAAUGUGGUGUUCCAUUUAGAUCUCACAGGCACGUCCUCGGGGGUUAUUUUGAGAGGUGAUGGUGGCAAUACCUUGUCUUGUCUCCACAAUGAGUCCACUCAGCACAGGAUAGUUGACCCUUUCCACCUGGCCAUAACUGAGCAGGAUUUGAGGUUAUGGACCAACCACUGCCCUGCUUUGGUUGUCUGGCUCAAUGAGCUGCUCUGGAUGGCUGUUUUAGAUGAACGACUGAUUUUGGUGAUUUGAAGAUCAUCUCCAUUCCAUCACCAGACACGACUGAUUCUACAAACCAGUUGAACAGACAGCACAUCUUAAUGAACCAGUAAAUAUCAGCAUGAAUCAUCAUGAAUUCUCAUUAGUCACAAACUGUUAAUUAGCUGUGACCUCUGUGGCACAUGUACAAAUAUCUCUUUUCCAGACCUCUCUCCUAACAGACACAUAAUCAUAGGAUCACAUAAUGGUUUGGUUAGAAAGCACCUUAAAGUUUAUCCAGUUCCAACCCUCCUGACAUGGACAGCAACACUUCCACUCUCUCAAAGCCCCAUCCAACCUGGGCAUCCAACCCAUCCAAAGCCUCUUAAAGAUUGUUCAAAGCCCCAUCCAACCUGGCCUUGGACACUUCCAGGGAUGGGGCAGCCACAGCUUCUCUGUACAGCUUGUUCUCUAGACUUCCAGUAUCUCACCACUCUGAGAGUAAAGAAUUUCUUCCUGAUAUCUAACCUAAAUUUCUCCUCUUUUAUUAUAAACUCAUUCCCCCUUGUCCUAUCAUUCUAUGUCCUGCUGAGACUGAUUUUCGAUGGAGCGCCAUUUGUGGGGUGCUCCACAAAUCCCUCUCCAGGUUGUAAAAACCAGAGGGAUAACUUGCCAUAACCACAUAUUUAUAUGACUCUAAGCCUUCACCAGUUAUCUGACUGUUUGUUCCUAUUCUCCAAGAAAAGCUUUUUAAGGCAAGAGAGUCUGAAGGCAAGGCAGCAGAAGGAAACAAAAUCCUCCAUGGUUUGGGCUUAAAUCUGUAUCAUUUCACAGAUGAUCUGAACCACCACCAAAAUGACAUCAUCUAGUAUCUUGUCUUACCAAGACCAGCCCUUGACAGCUCAUGGCAACACAAAAACAACUUCAGAGAGAAAUGGAAAAUGGGAGGUGAUUUCUUUUCUCCCAUACUCAUUAAUUUGCAAACAGAUCUCCAUUAGACAAUCCCAAAGCUUAAGAUGUCCUCAGCUCUCCCAAAUAUUGCUUACAUUUACUAUUAUUACUACUCUAGUUAUUCUUGUUAGUUUAACACCAUAUCUAAACAUCCCAAGUUGAUUUUGAAGGGAGUGUGGAUGGAAAUGUGAGGGGUUUAUUUAUUUUUAAUAAGGAUAAGCUCAGGCAUUAGAAACCUACUCUGUUUUCCCUGUUUUCGUAUCAGUCCCCAAGCAUGCUUCUACCACCAUCUUACAAACUCAGACUGACACCGAGCUGAUAAAUUGACAGAAAGUAUCAAAUGUCAGCUAGGGCUCUGAUUCCCUCUGGAGGCUCCUGGGAACAAAGUAUGAACAGAUUGUUCAUGCCAGAAUACCUCAUUAUUUUAAGCAAAUUGACUUUCUUAUUGACUACAUUGAAAGGUUGUACACUACUUAUAAUUACCAGUUCUACUUAAUUUUCUUUUGUAAAAAGGUCUGUACUCUCUACUUGACAGUAUUAUUUUGAUUAACCUACUUUUUGCCCCAAGAGGCCAUUUAAUAUUUAAAAAAGAAUGGCUUGAUUGUACAGAUGUAUAGCACAUGCACACGAUUAUUGUUAUAAUCACCCAUAUCUAAUCUGAAUGGUGAAGUGCAUUACACUACAUUUUGCAAUGAACUAUGAGAUUUUGUAGUGCUGGUGAGGUUAACAGCAGUAUACACAUAAAAAAAAAAAAAAAAAAAAAGUCCUGCAACUGCAGGAACACAAAGGGCAAUCUACCAGAAAAUACAAUGGUGUGAUGUGAAGCAAGAAGAUUAGAAGAUGUGUUUCACACCCCUUGAUUUCAGUUUGUGACUAUUUUAUGAUCACUAUAUUUGGCUGAUGUUUUAUUGCUAAUAAUAAUAUGAUAUAUUAAUUUUUACAUUCUCCUUGCUACUGCUAUCAAA